RNAcentral lists this long non-coding RNA (835 nucleotides) under Gallus gallus (chicken). RNAcentral's name for it is "lncRNA (ENSGALG00010000830.1)". Lineage: Eukaryota; Metazoa; Chordata; Aves; Galliformes; Phasianidae. The record is from RNAcentral.
CUUUUAUAUGAUUGACUCAAAGUUUGCUGAGGAACAAGUCCAGGCAAGUCCUGGGCAAAGGCAGAGAAAUCUUUUGUCUUGAGGACACUGAUGGACAGGUCCUGGCUAAGGAUUGUGAAAUCCUCUAAGGAGCACAGAUGGACAAGGCCAGGGGCAACGAGAGAGAGAUAAGCUGCUGCUAAUGGCCGGGAAACGGUCUUUUUGUGUGGACUUAUCUCGAGGAAGAUGGCCAUCUCAGGAGGUAUGCACAGGACUCUUGCUCAAGCACCCAGGAAUGUCACGUAGGCAGCAGAAAAUGGAGGAUAAAAGAGGGUCCAACAACCACGGCGAUGUGGAGACUGAUCUCUACCACAAGGCUGAUCUCUCAUGAUCUCUCACCACGACACGAGCUUCCUGCCUUCAGAUCCUUCUCUACGGACCGUUUGCUGACGGACUUCCCUGGGCCUGCUACCUGAGACCUGCUGCUUCCUCCCUGACCUGCACCCUCUCGUUGCCCAAGACCGGCCCCGCUGCUCCUGCCCUUCGGCCUCGGACCGUCGGAACAUCGUGCAACGGGACUGCUGCCGGAUCCUGGUGGUGACUAUCCCCGCUUUACGCGAUUCUUGCCUCUUUCUAUCUUUUCUAUCGCUCGCCUUCCCUUCCCCAUCACCCCAAUCCUUAAUAGUGUCCGUCCUCCCCUUUCCCCAUCUCCCUUAUUAACAUUUGUAAUAAACUGGUCGGACCAACAUUUGAACCGCUGUUUCUUAAUCUCACGCUGGGCAUACAUAUUUCAAAGAACCUCCUCUCCCUCCUAUAAAUUGGAGUGAGACAAUGGUUUGUCUUUUUGUUGCUGUUG